RNAcentral lists this long non-coding RNA (271 nucleotides) under Rosa chinensis. RNAcentral's name for it is "sRNA RchiOBHm_Chr7g0218211". The record is from RNAcentral. Lineage: Eukaryota; Viridiplantae; Streptophyta; Magnoliopsida; Rosales; Rosaceae.
GAUAAUAUGUGAUUGAUGCAGUUACUGGUUUAAAGUCUCUAAUGACACUACGGACUAACACGCCUCCAAGUUGGGGACUCUGGAUCCUUGUGAAGAUGGUUGGGAUGGCAUUGGGUGUCACAACAUGCGUGUGGUCUCUUUAACAUUAUCGAGUAUGAAUUUGACUGGCGCACUCUCUGGGACAGUUAUCUGAACUACAAAUUUUGGAUCUAUCUUACAACAAGGGCCUGACAGGACUCCCAGCAGAAAUUGGCAGUUUGAAGAAGCUAUC